This 1407-nucleotide ribosomal RNA is filed under the name uncultured bacterium. RNAcentral's name for it is "16S ribosomal RNA". It matches the Rfam family "Bacterial small subunit ribosomal RNA". The record is from RNAcentral.
AGAGUUUGAUCCUGGCUCAGGACGAACGCUGGCGGCGUGCCUAAUACAUGCAAGUAGAACGCUGAAGAGAGGAGCUUGCUCUUCUUGGAUGAGUUGCGAACGGGUGAGUAACGCGUAGGUAACCUGCCUUGUAGCGGGGGAUAACUAUUGGAAACGAUAGCUAAUACCGCAUAACAAUGGAUGACACAUGUCAUUUAUUUGAAAGGGGCAAUUGCUCCACUACAAGAUGGACCUGCGUUGUAUUAGCUAGUAGGUGAGGUAACGGCUCACCUAGGCGACGAUACAUAGCCGACCUGAGAGGGUGAUCGGCCACACCGGGACUGAGACACGGCCCAGACUCCUACGGGAGGCAGCAGUAGGGAAUCUUCGGCAAUGGGGGCAACCCUGACCGAGCAACGCCGCGUGAGUGAAGAAGGUUUUCGGAUCGUAAAGCUCUGUUGUAAGUCAAGAACGAGUGUGAGAGUGGAAAGUUCACACUGUGACGGUAGCUUACCAGAAAGGGACGGCUAACUACGUGCCAGCAGCCGCGGUAAUACGUAGGUCCCGAGCGUUGUCCGGAUUUAUUGGGCGUAAAGCGAGCGCAGGCGGUUUGAUAAGUCUGAAGUUAAAGGCUGUGGCUCAACCAUAGUUCGCUUUGGAAACUGUCAAACUUGAGUGCAGAAGGGGAGAGUGGAAUUCCAUGUGUAGCGGUGAAAUGCGUAGAUAUAUGGAGGAACACCGGUGGCGAAAGCGGCUCUCUGGUCUGUAACUGACGCUGAGGCUCGAAAGCGUGGGGAGCGAACAGGAUUAGAUACCCUGGUAGUCCACGCCGUAAACGAUGAGUGCUAGGUGUUGGAUCCUUUCCGGGAUUCAGUGCCGCAGCUAACGCAUUAAGCACUCCGCCUGGGGAGUACGACCGCAAGGUUGAAACUCAAAGGAAUUGACGGGGGCCCGCACAAGCGGUGGAGCAUGUGGUUUAAUUCGAAGCAACGCGAAGAACCUUACCAGGUCUUGACAUCCCGAUGCUAUUUCUAGAGAUAGAAAGUUACUUCGGUACAUCGGUGACAGGUGGUGCAUGGUUGUCGUCAGCUCGUGUCGUGAGAUGUUGGGUUAAGUCCCGCAACGAGCGCAACCCCUAUUGUUAGUUGCCAUCAUUCAGUUGGGCACUCUAGCGAGACUGCCGGUAAUAAACCGGAGGAAGGUGGGGAUGACGUCAAAUCAUCAUGCCCCUUAUGACCUGGGCUACACACGUGCUACAAUGGUUGGUACAACGAGUUGCGAGUCGGUGACGGCAAGCUAAUCUCUUAAAGCCAAUCUCAGUUCGGAUUGUAGGCUGCAACUCGCCUACAUGAAGUCGGAAUCGCUAGUAAUCGCGGAUCAGCACGCCGCGGUGAAUACGUUCCCGGGCCUUGUACACACCGCCCGUCA